GUCUAUGACUGUAGCGUAUUUCCCAAACACACGCAGGAAUUCUAAUUCGUAAUAUGGUGAUGGAUUGGUCCAGAGAACUACUGAUAUCUGAAGGCAAGUUGAAAGGUUGUAUGUGUGGUUAGCCUUGAUCGGUUUAAUUACUUUUACGCCUUGUAAUGUAAACUUUAAAAAGAUAAAGAAAACGGGUAAAACAACUCUUCGGCGCAUUUAAAGCGGCGUAGCACGUAGCACUAAUUCCAUAUCCGCUACACACUGCGUAUUAACGUCCUACAAACUAGGCCUACAUGUAGUAAUUCGGUACUGUAACAAGUAGUUUAAUCCUUCGGAUUCAAUAAACCCACCUACAUGCUCCCGAUGAGCCUGGAGUUUCCGAUACACAAUCAUUUUUACCCAUUCAGUUUUCAUUCUCCAUUAACAAACAGAGUGGUACUAUUUAAGACUCGUGCCUCGAGUCCUUGCUAGUUACUCAUGCUAUGCAAAUUUCAUUAGUUGCACAUUUAUUUCGCUUGUAGUAUAUUGGAGGAUUCUGAUCCAUAGCGAAAGAGUGACUGCCAAGGAACAGUUCGUAGUACGGGCAAAAACAUACAGAAAGCUUUGCUGUCUUCGUACUAUGGAUAAUAACUAAUUGUUGGCUAGAAAUAAAAAUUAAAAGUAGAUAAAUAGCUAGGUAAUUGGAACAUUAAUAAAGCAAAACACAGAUACGUACACAUGAUUCCUUUUGGCAAAACGAAAAAGCUCAACUAGGCUAUAUUUAAUGAAAACACACGGCUACCAUAGAAACUAGGUUUACAUCAUCUCCAGCACUACGCUAGUAGCUACGCACCCAAAUACGUCACAGCAUGUCGCAAAGCUAGAGGCGUAUUGUCUCCAUAGAAACGAAACAGUACACUCAAAUUCCUGAAUGGUUUCCUAGCAGCAGUACAGUCUUCGAUAUUACAGUAUAAACACAGGUAACGAGAAAUAACGUGGAGGUUUAAAUUGUAAAAGUUUUGCGAAACAAAUUCUUGCAAAUCAUACUACAUUGAUAAUUUUUCAAAAAGUUUUGGACGACUGGGUAAUUGUUGCGACAGAAUAUAAAAAAAAACGCUUGGCAGUCGACCUGCAGAAUGACUCCUCUGUGGGAGCUUAUGAUUGUUUUCAAAACACUUUUACUUGCACAAAAGAAAUUAAUAUAUCGCCUUCCGGCAGAAAGCAUAACACUUCCACAUGCAGAAUAUGAGAUAUAGGCUACAGGAUGCCGGUUGACGAAUUAUAAUAUUAUUCCCUGCUCGCGUUUUAACGGCUUAUCACAUUAUAACGACUACAUAUUAAAUGUAAAGGAUCGUGUGGUGUAAUCUUCAUUCCAAAUCUUAAUAGCGCAAUAUGACCAUGUUCUAACGAAAUCUCUCGCUUUUUUCCCGGACAUUAACGUUUGUAAUAUUUACAAGCAACAGACAGAACUAUACCAAGACCAUCCGGAAAAUGACCACAGAUGUGCUAUCCCUAUUGAUCGAGUUACAACGCAAUACACUCCUAUCUAGUACACGGUCCUGGUGAGCAUGGGGCAUAAUGCACAGAACAUCCUGGAUAGGAAGCUGGUUUAUGCAAAAAAAGACACAAUAUCCUCAAAACUGCAUGUUUUUAACUGAUGGAGGAAACCCGCAGAAACACAGAGAGAACAUUAAGCCUGCAGGCUACAGCGUUAACCACAGAACCGCCAAGCUGCCCAUAAUGGCGAACUUUUCCAAAUAACUAUCGAGCUUGUUUUCUCCCAGCUGACAGGGAACAUUCCAGGAAUUUCAGUUAACACUGUAUAGAGGUGUCCUCAAAGUUGGCAGAGAACAUUCCUACUGUAACGUUAAUGGAACUUUGUUUACACAUUUUACGUUUUAACAAAGGCGCUGUCAAUGUUAGCGCAAUAACAUUAUUAUUUGAACAUCAUUUUAACGUGAUGUUGAAGUAUAAAUAAAAACUUUACUUUAUGAAUUAACCACUAUACAUGUACAUACAGUGCAAACAGGCCACAACUUUAGAAGUUUAAAGCCAUCAUUGUACCUACUGUGCUGCCACAUGCUUUAUUUGUUCAUGCUUUAUUGGAGUCAGGUCCGUAGUGGCAGUAAUUUCAGCCCAGAAGUAAUAUGUCCAUUUAGUCUUUGCUCUGGCCUCUGUGACCCGGCCUGCAUAGAGCCAGAGGGGUUAGAAGAUGGAUGGACGGGUGGAUUAGCCCACAUAGCAAGAUGAGUCUGAACCAAAUCCAGGCUUAAUGUUGUUCAGAAAUUGCUGCAGAUCCGUAAACCAGAUCUGGCCCAGUGUCUUUUUGCAUAACCUGUUCCAAAGAUCAAAACUGGUCUGAGUCCACUUUUUGGAUUUGAAACAGAUAAGGGCCAAAUAUGGGCUAGGUUUACGUCGAAUGUUACCAAAUCUGGCCUGUAUCUGCACCACAGGCAAAAGUUAAAUUCAGAGGUGGCUGAAAUGGGGGCAGUAAGUGGCUCAGUAGCUCUGUGCUGGUGAUCCAAAAGUUGCUGGUUCAAACCUUCAGCAGAAGACCCUGUGUAUUACCUGCCCUUGGUCUUUGUCCCCCCUCCCUCCCCUAAGGUAUGCCAAGUGUGUUGGGGUCAGUGAAGGGAAGCAUCCCAAUGUACCUGUGUUUGUGCCAAUAACACAUGUUUGUUUUGUUGAAUGUGGCUCAGACUCUUGUCUGCUGAGCAGUUUGGCUCCAGGAUCCUCCCUUAAUAUAUGUGGCUGGUGAGUGACUCUGGGGUGCUGCAUGCUGUCUGAUCUCUGAGCCAUGAGCACAGGGGCAGCCAACACCCCCAGAGGUGGGGGUUAAAGGCCUUAUUCAAGGACCCACAGAUGUACAACCACUCCACUGGGGCCAGGGCUUGAACCAGUGACCUGCUUACAAACACAGAGGCUUAGUCCACUGAGCCACUUACCAGCUUCAGAGGAGGAAACCAGAGGAUCUGGUCAAAACCUGCAGAAUAUGCGGCGAACAUGCAAACUCCACACCCAGCCAGGAGGCAGGAUUCAAACCCGAAACCUUGGUGCUACCCAUCCAAUGCUACCCAUCCUGUAUCGUACCCAUACAUCCUGAAUAUAAUCCAUAUAAUGAAGAUCAUAGAAUACAGGCAUAUCACAGCACACUUCCAAAACAAACAAGACAAGUCAUCAGGCAGCAGGCAAAUGUGAAACAAAAAUUGUGGUUUUUCAUUGUUUUUUUUCCUCAGAGGAUAAACUGCUGUUUUCCUGGGCAACAGAAUCCGCUCUCCUCUGGAAUACAAAUAUCAGUAAUUUUGCAGGUUCGCUUAGGAAUAAGUAAGUAAAUAAGCAAGUAAAAUUUAUUGAUGAAGCACCUUUCACAGACAAGAGGUCACUUAGUGCCGUACAGUGCUAAAACAAAAGUGCCAUCAAAACAAAACACAAAGAAAAAAGAACAACUACCAAAAAUAGUAAUAAUAAAAAGAGUAUGCAAGCAGACGGCUACUCAGGCAGGUCAAGAAAACAAAUAAGCAUGAAUUGUAUGUUGUUUUUUCUACAGACAAGCUUGUGGAAUGUUGUUGUUUUCUUGACUUUGACUUUGUUCUUUGCAUAAGGGCGCCUUCUGAACCUGCGAGCGAACUUCACCGCUGUUGACUCUGGAUUAUGAAACGGAACACUGUCAACUCACUGGCCUGCUGGCUUCGUAUCCAUAGGGACAGCUGUGCCGUUUCCAAAGACUGCCAUGAGUAAAAUUUGUAUGGAUAAACUGGAAUAGGAUUUUUCUUUCUUGCUCAUUCUACCCUUGGCCUUCAGAGGUUGGGAAAGAGUGGCGGGGCAGGAUGGAAAAACUGUGAGUGUGAGAAUCCCGGACAGGACUGGUCAUGCUUGCUGGGGUUUACUGGCCUAUACUGGUACUAUGGUGUAUGAUGGCUGCUUGCGUAACCAUGGAGAUAACUGAGCUCAUUAGAUCCUGAGGCCCUAUUCAGUAAAAAAUGCAGUCUGACAUGCACAUUUUUUUUAGCCAACAGGCUAGCACUGGUUUGUUUUUUUUGUACUGGGCCAGUGUAAAUUGCCGCUUCAGCCAAGAAGGCGAGCUUAAUUUCAAGCCUUGAUUACACUGAACAUUAAUUUAUCCUGAAACCAAAUCAUGGUCUAAUGUUCGAGGCUAUAAUCUAGUGCAAGGGACUCCGGCCUUGACAGCUACUGAUAAAAAAUAAAUCUAAAAAAUAAAUUUAAAAAAAGCUGGGGAGAUAUAAAGUCACAAUAUCAAUCCCGGGGGGGGGUUGGCCACAAUUAGAGGUUUACAUAAGGGACAAGACUAUUUAAAAAAUAAGUCUAGAAUGUUUUAGAUGAUAAAAAGUCAUAUUUUGUUGUACGGGGAAACAAUACAAAGAGGUGAUGAUCCUCGUCGUCUGCACAAAGUCUGAGGUACGUGUCUAAAGUGAAAUGGGCAAAGAUUCUAACAUGCAUGUGCAGAAAGACCUGCGCAGCCGUGCAGCUUGCAUGCUGAUUCUGUGGAAGCCCGCGGUAUAGGAAACCAUUCAGAGUCGUUGCACAACCUGCAGUACUAUCAGAUCAGGAGGUGCUAGACAGGCCUGGUCUGAUACUUUAAAUACAUGUGUGCCAAUCACCUUCAGUGGAAAGUCAGUCACAAUUCACGCUAGAUUGUCAGUUUCCUAGUAAACAGUGUACCUGUGAAUUAACACGUGUUUGGUGUUAUUAAAUCAAGACCGUCUUCCUUAUACCUGUAGGUUUGUGUGACGUUUCAUUGGAAUCCCUCAUGUGCAUUAGUUCCGCUGGGCGUUAGCAUCUCCUGUCAAGGUCCGAAGACACGGCUCAUGCGGAUCGAAAUCUUUAACAGCCCAUAGUGUACGAUCUUAAAUCAGGACUCCAUUGUGCGUGUCUGUGUGUGCGCGUGUACCCUGCGAGGGCCUGACUUCCUGCCCGGCGUAACCCCAGCCUCAUGCUCUACUACCUGGGAUAAGUUUUUGGCCCGACACAAAUCCCAUUCCCACUGCGUGGUUACAGGAAAAGGAAAUUACAAUUAGAUGAUGAAGUUCAGUCUUCCAGUUCCCCUGGGUAGCAAAUCAGUCCAUUGAUCUGGCCAUCGUGUGGUCAGUGUCACAUGUCCUUGCCCCGGCCGGCUGAUUGGCUCUCGGUGUCACUUCGCUAUCAUGUAGGGAGCAGAGAGGAAGCCAUGAGGGUGUUAGUUGUUACCCCUAAAUGCGUCGCCUUAUUUUUAUGGUGAGCGUUUAAUGGCAAUGUAGCUUCUGACCUUGGAAGGCUUUCAGAUAAACUGAAGACAAUCAUCUCUUUUAUUUUUGUCAAUCACAAUAAAUAACCAUUGCAUUUCUUCUUCUUCUGUGUUCUAGUUUCUGUUUGUUAUGUUAGAUUUGGGAUUUUCAGUUUUUUUCUGCAGAAUAUUUCCUCAUGAAUCUACUUUGUUUUCCUGUAUGCUUCACAGUACAAACAUGUUUUGGAACAGCAUACUCUCGUUUCCAGGUAAAAAGUAGGAUCCUGUAAAUCAUUCUUAAACUGCUUUGUUGCCUUUGUGCUGGAUCUAGGAACUUUUGCAUAUUUUGCCACAUGUUUCACCUCAUACUGGA
Molecule: non-coding RNA, 5564 nt
Organism: Paramormyrops kingsleyae
Lineage: Eukaryota; Metazoa; Chordata; Actinopteri; Osteoglossiformes; Mormyridae
Source: RefSeq, a predicted model, not a curated record